RNAcentral lists this ribosomal RNA (497 nucleotides) under uncultured bacterium. RNAcentral describes it as "partial 16S ribosomal RNA". It matches the Rfam family "Bacterial small subunit ribosomal RNA", at positions 28 to 507 of the family's 1533-position model. The record is from RNAcentral.
GAUGAACGCUGGCGGCGUGCUUAACACAUGCAAGUCGAGCGAACGGACGCGGCGCUUGCUUCUUUGACGUUUGCGGCGGACGGGAGUGUAACACGUGGAUAACGCACUUAUCAGUCUGAGAUAUCCUCGGGAAACGGGCGAUUAUCCCGUAUGAUCUUUUGAACCGCAUGGUUCAAAAGAGAGAGACGGUGUUGCUGUAUCGUAUAGAUGCAUAUGGGCUGCAUUAGCUAGUUGGUAAGGUACAGGCUUAUCAAGGGAACGAUGCCUAGCCGACCGGAGUGGGGGAUCGGCCACACUGGAACUGAAACACGGUCCAGACUCCUACGGUACGCAGCAGUAUGGUAUCUUCCGCAAUGGGCGAAAGCCUUGCGGAGCAACGGCGCGUGAGUGAUAAAGGUCUUCGGAGCGGAAAACUCUGUUAUUAGUGAAGAACAGAUGUGGAAGUAACUGUGCACAUCUUGACGGUACCUAAUCAAAAAGCCACGGCUAACUACGUG